RNAcentral lists this ribosomal RNA (511 nucleotides) under uncultured bacterium. RNAcentral describes it as "bacterial SSU rRNA". It matches the Rfam family "Bacterial small subunit ribosomal RNA", at positions 28 to 519 of the family's 1533-position model. The record is from RNAcentral.
GACGAACGCUGGCGGCGUGGAUUAGGCAUGCAAGUCGGACGGUAGGGCUUUAUCGUAAGAUAGAGUUUGAGAGUGGCGAACGGGUGAGUAACACGUAGGAAUCUACCCUUAAGACGGGGACAACCCAGGGAAACUUGGGCUAAUACCGGAUGAGAGUGCGAGAGAUUGCAUUUAAAAGGAUGGCGAAAGUUAUCGCUUAGGGAUGAGCCUGCGGUCUAUUAGUUAGUUGGUGGGGUAAGAGCUCACCAAGGCGAUGAUAGAUAGGCGGCCUUAACGGGUGGUCGCCCACACUGGGGAUUGAGAUACGGCCCAGACUCCUACGGGAGGCAGCAGUCGAGAAUAGUCUACAAUGGCCGGAAGGCUGAUAGUGCGACGCCGCGUGAACGAGGGACGCCCGUUCGGGGUGUAAAGUUUCUUUUCUAUACGAGCAGUGCUAUAUAUAUGGAUAGUAUAUAUAGAGGAUAGUAGUAUAGGAAUAAGCAACGGCUAACGUCCGUGCCAGCAGCCGACC